Molecule: ribosomal RNA, 459 nt
Filed under: uncultured bacterium
Lineage: Bacteria
Description: partial 16S ribosomal RNA
Rfam family: Bacterial small subunit ribosomal RNA
Source: RNAcentral
CCUACGGGAGGCAGCAGUGAGGAAUAUUGGUCAAUGGCCGCAGGGCUGAACCAGCCAAGUCGCGUGAGGGAUGACGGUCCUAUGGAUUGUAAACCUCUUUUGUCAGGGAGCAAAGGGCGCCACGUGUGGCGCUUUGCGAGUACCUGAAGAACAAGCAUCGGCUAACUCCGUGCCAGCAGCCGCGGUAAUACGGAGGAUGCGAGCGUUAUCCGGAUUUAUUGGGUUUAAAGGGUGCGCAGGCGGAAUGUCAAGUCAGCGGUAAAAUUUCGGGGCUCAACCCCGUCGUGCCGUUGAAACUGGCGUUCUUGAGUGAGCGAGAAGUCUGCGGAAUGCGUGGUGUAGCGGUGAAAUGCAUAGAUAUCACGCAGAACUCCGAUUGCGAAGGCAGCAUACCGGCGCUCAACUGACGCUCAUGCACGAAAGCGUGGGUAUCGAACAGGAUUAGAUACCCGGGUAGUC